This 1911-nucleotide unclassified non-coding RNA is filed under the name Hevea brasiliensis (rubber tree). Lineage: Eukaryota; Viridiplantae; Streptophyta; Magnoliopsida; Malpighiales; Euphorbiaceae. The record is from RNAcentral.
GUUUGCUAUAUUUAGAACUAGGAAUUUUUAAGUACAAUGAACUUUGUAUUAGCUGCAUUUCAAAAAACUAGUGUGGCCAACAACUAAAAAAAUAAAAUACAAAGGUAUGUGAUUACAACAUAAGCGGCCAAGUGUUAUGUUUUGCCGCAAUCUCUGCUAGUCAACCUCUCAUGACCAGUAAAAAACAAAAGCCUAUGUAUAAAACUCAUCAAAUUAAGUAUGUCUACCAGCAGCUUUGCCACAAAGAAGAGCAUUAGUUGGUAUGUCAUAUUCAUUAGCUAGACUUGGGGUUGGGUCGUACACUCUGAGGUACACUUGUUGUCCAAGAUAUUGUCUAUCCCACAUAGCUGAUCUCAAAUUCCACAUUCCUUGGUUGUCCAAGGACACCAAUAUCGCAGUCCAAGAUUUGGGAUAUACCUGUGUAGUAUGUCUAGUCAGAGCAUCAACAAGAUUGUACUUAUUUCUACUUGCUUGUGUCCAUUUGCCAGAUCCAAAACCUACAACCCAGAAAUCAUAGCCAUCAAGAUGCCAGGAUUGCAUGGUGGCCUCAUCGUUUUGGAAAACAAUUUCGAUGAAAUCAUGGUGAGAAGUUGGAAAUACAGCUGUGCCUAAGUUAGGCAAACCACCAGAGGGAUAAGCUUGAAUGGAGUUCAAGUUGAACACUCCGGGGAUGUUGAAGUGAUCAGCAAGCUUAAGUGGAGUAUCAGGAUUAACAUAAGACACACUAUUGACAGCAUAUCUCAGCUUUCCAUUGAUAAGAGGUGCUGAAUUAGCGAUAACAAAAGUCCUUGAUAUUGUAAUUUUUCCAUAAUGGAAUGAACCCUGAGGAUUUGGCCUAGCUGCAUUUGAUGUCAGAUUCCACCUAAAUGUUCUGGCUUGCAACAUCGACCAAUGCAUUUGUCCAGUUGGAGCAGGUGGCACGGGUCCAGAAACGGGUGUCUGAGAGUUAGUGUAGUGGAGAACUGAAGUGGCAGUAAAACUUAUCCUGGAGAACCUUGUAGAAGCAACAAUAUAGUAGUCCUUUGGAGGCUGAUCUAAUGUGACAAGGACAGACAUAGAUUGACCAACAUGGACAUCAACAGAAUCAUAGAAGUUCUGCAAGACGUGGGAUCCUUCAAUCUCAACAACCCUCAUCUUAUGGCCCUGAAUUCUGAAGUUAAUGGAAUUUUUCAAGCCUACAUUUGAAAUCCUGAACAUAUAUGUCUUUCCUUGAUCACCACUGAAGGUAGACUGCUUCUGUCCAUUUAUUAGGAGGUCAUUUGGGUAAGGAAGAGACCUCCCUGAGUCCAAUAUUUGCCUCAAUACCUUAUGACUGCUCUUGUACCAAUCACCAAUAAGUAAACUGAAAUCUCCAACAGGUUUAGCAUAUGGAACUGGGAUUACAGAUCUCGCAUACACGUUAAGUGCUCCGAAACCUCCAACAGCUCUAUGCAAUUGAGUUGAAGGGAAAUAUGUGUAACUUCCAAUCUGGUCUUUUGUUUGGAACUUGUAAGUGUAAUUUGAAUUUAUAGGAAUGGGACAGUUUGUUCCCAAAACUCCAUCUUGCCAAGAAUUCUUUCUUUGUUUGAUUCCAUUCCAUGUCAACAGAAGAGGUUCAUCCAACUUAUUAAUCAGAUUGAGAAUUACAUUGUCAUUUGUAACAAGGUCAAGUCUUGGACCAGGAAAUUGACCAUUAAUGAGGAUCACCUGUUGAGGAACACCAAGAGGAUAAAGAGUUCCAUAAGUAGCAGUCCAUGUGAAAUAUUUAUAAGUAUCCUCUGCUUUCACCAGAGAAACACUCCAAAAAAUGAAAAUUCCACAAAUCAAAUGAAAAAGUGCAACAUUCCCCAUUGGAGCAAUGCUUAAAGAAAUAGUUGUAAAAAUAGAAAGAAUGAAUGAAGAACUGUAUGAUAGAUCUAGUGAGGAUUAAAC